GACGAAUCAUCUGGAAAGAUGAAUCAAAGAAGGUAAUAAUCCUGUAGUCGAAAAUGUUGUCUCUCUUGAGUGGAUCCUGAGUACGACGGAGCACGUGAAAUUCCGUCGGAAUCUGGGAGGACCAUCUCCUAAGGCUAAAUACUCUCUAGUGACCGAUAGUGAACCAGUACCGUGAGGGAAAGGUGAAAAGCACCCCGGAAGGGGAGUGAAAUAGAACCUGAAACCGUGUGCUUACAAGUAGUCAGAGCCCGUUAAUGGGUGAUGGCGUGCCUUUUGUAGAAUGAACCGGCGAGUUACGAUUUGAUGCAAGGUUAA
Molecule: ribosomal RNA, 315 nt
Filed under: Staphylococcus aureus
Lineage: Bacteria; Bacillati; Bacillota; Bacilli; Caryophanales; Staphylococcaceae
Description: partial 23S ribosomal RNA
Rfam family: Bacterial large subunit ribosomal RNA
Source: RNAcentral